Molecule: long non-coding RNA, 907 nt
Filed under: Homo sapiens (human)
Lineage: Eukaryota; Metazoa; Chordata; Mammalia; Primates; Hominidae
Description: HSALNT0360470
Source: RNAcentral
AAAAUGGCUAAUGAUCCAAUAUUCGCUGAGAAACACAGGGCCAAGAUGUAACUAUCCUCUCAUCAAAACCGUAGGAAUUCUGUGAAUACAGAAGUUCAAACACCGGAUGGAAAUGGGGAGAAAAUGAAAACUGCCUUUUUUUUAGAGUAGUGGGUUCGUGGAGGAUUUGUCUUUAGGCUUUUGGUUUGCAUUUGAUGCUGACACAAUAUUGUUUAUCCAGUGAAUGCAAGUUUUUGUUUUGUUUUGUUUGUUUGUCUUUUAAAGAGGAGAGUGGAGAAGAGGAAAGUUCUCUUCUGCCAUCGUUCCUCAUUUGUCUGAGAAACAGGCACCGCACCUGGCCCAAUGGAAAAGAAAUUCCAGAAGAAGGGAAGAGGGAAGGAAUGGAGUUGAGUGUGUCUGGAUCUAAAGGCUUGCUGCUCCGCCCUGGCUUCCUGUCCCCACAGGAAGCACACCAGGCCUCUCUCUCUCCCCAACUCACUCCAACGGGUGACCUCCACUGGGCAGCCUGCCUCAGGAAUGCCUCUCCUCUCAUCCUUCUUCAGGCACAGAGGCCCGCCCUCCAUACAACUUCCAGAAAGACAGCUCUGCACACCUAAAGAACCUCCCAGACCCCUGCAUCAGGACAACAGCCUCUCCUGGCACUCAGGACCAGCCUCCUCCUAGCUGCCUGCAAAUUGUCACAGAACACACCUGUCGGCUCUGACCCCAUGCCUUCACUCUUGCUGUCCUCUCUGCUCAGAGCACCCUCCCACCACCCCUGCCUGCCAGUGCCAGCCACGCACGUUGGAUGACAGCUGACCCCCUCUGCAACCAAAACCUUCCAAACCAUGGCCAAGCAGAUGGCUCCCUUCUCUCUCCCAUCCCCCAUGACUGUAAGGACCUCAAAUACACAGAUUGAUCAAGUGUA